AGAGUUUGAUCAUGGCUCAGGACGAACGCUGGCGGCGUGCUUAACACAUGCAAGUCGAACGGAAAGGCCCUUCGGGGUACUCGAGUGGCGAACGGGUGAGUAACACGUGGGUGAUCUGCCCUGCACUUCGGGAUAAGCCUGGGAAACUGGGUCUAAUACCGGAUAUGACUGCGAAUCGCAUGGUUUGUGGUGGAAAGCUUUUGCGGUGUGGGAUGGGCCCGCGGCCUAUCAGCUUGUUGGUGAGGUUAUGGCUUACCAAGGCGACGACGGGUAGCCGGCCUGAGAGGGUGUCCGGCCACACUGGGACUGAGAUACGGCCCAGACUCCUACGGGAGGCAGCAGUGGGGAAUAUUGCACAAUGGGCGCAAGCCUGAUGCAGCGACGCCGCGUGAGGGAUGACGGCCUUCGGGUUGUAAACCUCUUUCAGUAGGGACGAAGCGGAAGUGACGGUACCUACAGAAGAAGCACCGGCCAACUACGUGCCAGCAGCCGCGGUAAUACGUAGGGUGCGAGCGUUGUCCGGAAUUACUGGGCGUAAAGAGCUCGUAGGUGGUUUGUCGCGUUGUUCGUGAAAACCUGAGGCUUAACCUUGGGCGUGCGGGCGAUACGGGCAGACUGGAGUACUGCAGGGGAGACUGGAAUUCCUGGUGUAGCGGUGGAAUGCGCAGAUAUCAGGAGGAACACCGGUGGCGAAGGCGGGUCUCUGGGCAGUAACUGACGCUGAGGAGCGAAAGCGUGGGGAGCGAACAGGAUUAGAUACCCUAGUAGUCC
This 771-nucleotide ribosomal RNA is filed under the name uncultured bacterium. Its description in RNAcentral is "bacterial SSU rRNA". It matches the Rfam family "Bacterial small subunit ribosomal RNA", at positions 8 to 796 of the family's 1533-position model. The record is from RNAcentral.